Long non-coding RNA from Patella vulgata (common limpet), 498 nucleotides. RefSeq lists it as uncharacterized. NCBI's taxonomy places the organism in Eukaryota, Metazoa, Mollusca, Gastropoda, Patellidae. The transcript is spliced from 2 exons. The record is from RefSeq and is a predicted model, not a curated record.
CCAGGAAACUGUUCAUACCGCUUAUAGCCAAAGGUGAUUUCGCAGACGAACCUUUAUUUAGUUUGUUGUCGCGGAAAAACCGGAGUAAUCCAAGCCAAAUACACUCAGACCAGGGAUCAUGCUUACUAGGUCACCACAACACCGAGUAUGGAAAAUAGCAGGUUUUCAACUUUCAGUCUGUCGUGGGUUGAACCAAAAGAGACAAGACAGGAACACAGCUAAACAGUUUAUUUAAAAUAAACAGAACACGCACACAGGAACAAAACAGGCGAUGAUUUACAGAAAGAAGAACAAGUAGAAGAUUAAUGAAAUAAUAUAACUAAAUUGGCAAAUAUACUCUUAAAAAAAACCUAGGGGAUAUUGAAAUGCAAAUACUUAUGCAGGUUGUGAUAUGAUAAAUAGUCAUUCACACUUGACAUGCUUUGAGAGUAUGUUCACAGAUGAAGAACUUAUCGCCCCAACAGAACCACCGAGCUGCAUGUGCAACACGCAAUAGCG